Molecule: transfer RNA, 65 nt
Filed under: Entiminae sp. GENSP01
Lineage: Eukaryota; Metazoa; Arthropoda; Insecta; Coleoptera; Curculionidae
Description: tRNA-Asp
Rfam family: tRNA
About the family: Transfer RNA (tRNA) molecules are approximately 80 nucleotides in length.
Source: RNAcentral
AAAAAUUUAGUUAAAGUAUAACGUUAGUUUGUCAAACUAAAAUUAUUAUUAUCUAAUAAUUUUUA